Numida meleagris (helmeted guineafowl) is the source of this 668-nucleotide long non-coding RNA. RefSeq lists it as uncharacterized. The record is from RefSeq and is a predicted model, not a curated record. NCBI's taxonomy places the organism in Eukaryota, Metazoa, Chordata, Aves, Galliformes, Numididae. The transcript has 3 exons.
GCGAUCAGUGGGAAAAGAGUCCCACGUGCAGAGGGUGCACUGAACCGUUCCCCGAAGGUGCUGGCCCAUCUCCACUGGCUGUGGAGACAGCCUGAAUGACCAGCUUAGAUUAAAAGCCUAAAUUUCAUGCAGCUACAGUCAGGGGAACCCACUCCCACCAUUUAGAGGCGUUUUCAAGCUCGUUGGACACUUUCAGCAAAAUCCAGCAGCAGGUUCACAGUCCCAGUGAGGUCAGUCACUGCACAUCUGGAGGCCCAGGAGAGUAACCACAGUCCUUCUCUCUGGCCUUUUAAACUCUGUUCCUAAACUGAGGCAGAAGAUAGGGAGGAAGCCUGUCCUCUGAGGGCCAUGGAUGCAUCAUUACCUGAGUCACUCCCAGUCCAAUUAGACAUCCAUGCAGCCACCGUAAGUGGGAAUUUGUCAUGACUUGACUGGAGACUUAAUAAUUUCUGUAAAGACUGCAAUUUUCACAUUGGAUUCCUCCCAUCCUUUCUGUCAAUUGAAGAUUUUCAUCAUAUUCUUCUCAUUUUCUUGCCUACUCCUUGCUGAACGUGAAUGUCUGUAUACUUACUCUUGUACCUGUCCACUUCCAGUGGAACCAGCAAAGUCUUCUUAACACAACGAGAUUUGGUCAUGCAUCUCUGUUGAGAAAGAGUCGCCUGCCACUU